AUAUAUAUAUAUAUAUAUAUAUAUAUAUAUAUAUAUAUAUAUAUAUAGAGUCCGGCUGCUAUGCUAUCGGUAGCACGGAGCGCUUCGUGCUACCAAGUUGUUUUCGAUUAUGCGGCUUCCAAAUCGACGAUCGGCUCCGUUAGACUUGAUCUACACUAUUGAAAGUGUUUGGAAACUAAAUUUCAAAUUUUUUCGACAUCAUUUGACUAGUGAUCGAAAGAUCUCAAAAUUGACAAUUUUAAUGGCCGAUGUGGUGUGUUUGUGAGUUUAACGGUGUAAAACAAUUCAAAUGCGAUGAAAAUUUUAUAGAAAAUUCUUUUUACUAUUUAGAGUAAGAUCAGUAUAUCUGAUCUUGAAUUUAAAUCUUUUGUCAUCAUUUUUUAUGAGAUUUUUAUUUUCAGCCGUUCAAUUUUAGACUACUUGUUUGAUAGGUAAAUGAUAUCGAAAAAUUAUGAAAUUUAGUUUCUAAAUACUUUCAAAAGUGUAGAUCAACUCUAACAGAGCCGAUCGUCGAUUUGGAAGCCGCAUCAUCGAAAACAACUCGGUAGCACGGAGCGCUCCGUGCUACCGAUAGUAUAGUAGCCUAGCUAUAUAUAUAUAUAUAUAUAUAAUUGAGCUAGAAUACUUUUAGAAGCACCAAUCCAUUGGUGGUUCUAAGUUUCUAGCCCUUAGAUCUACUCAUUAAUUAUUAAUACUCCUUGAAUCAAACACUAUUACACCUACCACAAUCAUCUCAACCCUACAUCUCUCCAUCCAAUGGUUGAAAACUCAAAUGCACCAUACCCUUGGUGUUUUUGAGAGUAUUCUAGCUCAACUAUAUAUAUAUAUGUAAUUAGGCUGGAAUACUAUUAAUAGUAAAACUCUCUUUUUGCUAUCAAGUUUUUAACCCUCGGAUGAAAAAUUAUAGGGUCAGGAUGAUAUUAGUCAGUUAGAGUUGAGUGGUCCCCCUAGAGUUGAGUGGUCCCCACUGGGUUAUAAUAUUUAAUCCAAUGGUUAGAAAUAAUAAAAAAAGUUGAUCCAAAGGCUAAAAAAGUGGUGGCAACAAUGAGAUUUUGCUACUAAUAGUAGCCCAGUCCAACUCUCUCUCUCUCUCUCUCUCUCUCUCUCUCUCUCUCUCUCUCUCUCUCUCUCUCUCUCUCUCUCUCUCUAUAUAUAUAUAUAUAUAUAUAUAUAGAUAUAUAUAUAUAUGAGUGAUGCUACUAUGCUUCUGGAAGCUUCCAGGUCGUUUUCCAUGUUGCGACUUUCAAAUCGUCGAUCGGCUCCGUUAAACUUGAUCUAGAGUAUUUGAAGUACCUAGACAAUAAAUUAUGCAAUUUUUUGAUAUUAUUUGCCUAGUGAUCGAAGGGGCUCAAAAUCAAUGGCUGAAAAUAAAAAUCUUACAAAAACGUGAUAAUAUGACAUUAAAAUUUUAGAUCAAAGAUGUUGAUCUUGUUUUAUAUAGUAUAAAAAAUUUUCUAUCAAAAUUUCACGUGAUUUGGAUAUUUCUACACCGUUAAAUUUGCAAACGUCACACUACAGCCAUUAAAAUUAUUGAUUUUGAGUCCCUACGAUUACUAGGCAAAUGAUAUCAAAAAAUCAUAAAAUUUAUUUUCUAGUUAUUUUAAAUAUUCUAGAUCAAGUUUAUCGGAACCGAUCGACGAUUCGAAAGUCGCAACAACGAAAAUGACCUGGAAGCACGGAAGGCUCCGUGCUUCCAAAAGCAUAGUAGACUCACUAUAUAUAUAUAGAGAGAGAGAGAGAGAGAGAGAGAGAGAGAGAGAGAGAGAGAGAGAGAGAGAGAGUCCGGCUACUAUACUAUCGAUAGUACCAAGCCCUUGGUACUAUUAAGUUUUCUACCAUUAGAUCUACUCUUUGAUCAUUUCCACCCAUUAGAUUAUACUAUUAAACCAACCACCCACUCAACCUUAGGGGACCACUAUCAAUUUAACCGGAGACCACUAUCAUCCUAACCGCACAUCUUUCAAUCCAACGGCUGAAAACUCAAUAGUACCAAGGGCUUGGUACUAUUGAUAGUAUAGUAGCAUAAUUCUAUAUAUAUAUAGAACUAGGCUAAUAUACCAUUAAUAGCACAAAGUCAUUGGUCCUACCAAGUUUUUGGCCAUUGGAUUAAGAGAUGUGCAGUUAGGANUCUCUCUCUCUCUCUCUCUCUCUCUCUCUCUCUCUCUCUCUCUCUCUCUAUAUAUAUAUAUAUAGAUAUAUAUAUAUAUAUAUGAGUGAUGCUACAAAAAAUCUGGAACCUUCACCAGAAAGAAUUUAGAAAAUCUUCCGAGCUUUUUCAGCAAUCGUAAAUUAGGAACCGAAAAAAUUGGCAUCCACGUAGAAUAUGAAGUACCAAGACAAAAAAUUAUGCAAUUUUUCAAUAUUAUUUGCCUAGUGAACGAAAGGGCUCAAAAUCAACGGCUGAAAAUAAAAAUCUUACAAAAACGUAAUAAUAUGACAUUAAAAUUUUAGAUCAAAGAUAUUGAUAUUGUUUUAUAUAGUAUAAAAAAUUUUCUAUCAAAAUUUCACGUGAUUUGGAUAUUUCUACACCGUUAAAUUUGCAAACGUCACACUACAGCCAUUAAAAUUAUUGAUUUUGAGUCCCUACGAUUACUAGGCAAAUGAUAUCAAAAAAUCAUAAAAUUUAUUUUCUAGUUAUUUUAAAUAUUCUAGAUCAAGUUUAUCGGAACCGAUCGACGAUUCGAAAGUCGCAACAACGAAAAUGACCUGAAAGCACGGAAGGCUCCGUGCUUCCAAAAGCAUAGUAGACUCACUAUAUAUAUAUAUAUAGAGAGAGAGAGAGAGAGAGAGAGAGAGAGAGAGAGAGAGAGAGAGAGAGAGUCCGGCUACUAUACUAUCGAUAGUACCAAGCCCUUGGUACUAUUAAGUUUUCUACCAUUAGAUCUACUCUUUGAUCAUUUCCACCCAUUAGAUUAUACUAUUAAACCAACCACCCACUCAACCUUAGGGGACCACUAUCAAUUUAACCGGAGACCACUAUCAUCCUAACCGCACAUCUUUCAAUCCAACGGCUGAAAACUCAAUAGUACCAAGGGCUUGGUACUAUUGAUAGUAUAGUAGCAUAAUUCUAUAUAUAUAUAGAACUAGGCUAAUAUACCAUUAAUAGCACAAAGUCAUUGGUCCUACCAAGUUUUUGGCCAUUGGAUUAAGAGAUGUGCAGUUAGGAUGAUGUGGGUCCCCUAGAGUUGAGUGGGUGGUUGGUUGAAUAGUAUGAUCUAACGGGUGAAAAUGAUUAAAAUGGUAGAUCUCACGGCGAAAAAUUUGGUAGCACCAAGUACUUCGUGAUAUUUAGUAACAAAUGCUGCUAGUUUAUUAUAUUUAGCGGCAUUCACUAAUUUAUGCUGCUAAUUAAUAGUAAAUUGCUGCUAAAUAAUUAAAUCUUGCGGUAAUUAUCAAGUAAUGCUACUAAAUAUAUUAAUUGGUAUGAUUUAAAUAAAUGUUGCGAAGCAAAUAUUGUGGCAUUUAGCAAUAAGUGCUGCUACUUUAUCACAUUUAGUGUCAUUUUUUAUAAAAUGCUGGAACAUCGACGACAUUCACUAAUUUAUGCUGUUAAUUUAUUCUAUUUUGCAACAUUAAUAGUAAAUUGCUGCUAAAUUAUUAAAUUUAGCGGUACUUAUCAAGUAAUAAUGCUGUUAAAUAUAUUAAUUAGCGUUAUUUAAAUAAAUGCUGCAGAGUAAAUGCCUCUAAAUCAUAAAUUUGUAGUAGUGGUCGUUUUCGAUGAUAGAGCUUCCGAAUCGACAAUUCACACCGUUAAACAUUUUCUAGAUCAUUUAAAACUUCUAGAAAUCAGAUUUCAUAAUUUUUCGACAUUAUUUACCUUACGAUCAAAAACUCACAAAAUUGACAAUUUUUAACGGCCGGUAUGGAAUACUUACUAGUUUAACGGUGCAAAAGAAUCCAAAUAGGUUGAAUUUUUUAUAGAAAAUUCUAUUCACUACCUAGAUAAAGAUCAAUAACUCCGAUCUUCUAUUGAAGGAUCCGAUCUUCCAUUUUUAAAACGUCGUCUGAUUUUGAUCGUUUAUUUUGUGCCCGUUUGAUGGACAUUUUUAUUUUUUGAUGAAUCAAAUUUCAAUAUGUGUUUUAAACUAAAAGUGUCAAAAUUUAAUUUACAUUUACUUUAAAAUUUAAAAUUUAAUUUUGACCGACUGUAAUAAAAAAUUAAUUAUUAAUUCAAAUUUGAUAUCAAAAAUUAAAUUUAAUUUAUAAUUUAAACUCAAAAUUUAAUUUUAAUAUAAAAUAGAUUAAUAGGAAUGCUAUUUUGUAACAAAUUGAUCAUAACAAUUUGUUUUUAUUUGAAAUAUUUUUUAACAAUUUGAUUAUAAUCAUCCGUAAGAAUGAAUUUAUAGAUGAAUAGAAAUACUAUUUUUUAAUAUAUUGAUCAUAGCUAUUUUUAUUUGAGAUAUUUUUUUAACAAAUUUAUUAUAACCAUUCGUAGGGAAUAGAUUUUUAUAUAUAUAGUAGAGAUUUAAUAGAUUGAUCAUAACCGUUUGUUUUUAUUUGAGAUAUUUUUAACAAAUUAAUCAUAACCAUUCGUAGGGAAUAUUAUUUUAUUUUUUUUUGGAUUCCGUCUGUCAUUGUCGGAAUUCCUAUACGCUUAUAUAUAUACAA
Molecule: long non-coding RNA, 4608 nt
Filed under: Ananas comosus (pineapple)
Lineage: Eukaryota; Viridiplantae; Streptophyta; Magnoliopsida; Poales; Bromeliaceae
Description: long non-coding RNA (ACOM_LNC030336)
Source: RNAcentral